AAAUGCGAUAAGUAAUGUGAAUUGCAGAAUUCAGUGAAUCAUCGAAUCUUUGAACGCACAUUGCGCCCGCCAGUAUUCUGGUGGGCAUGCCUGUCCGAGCGUCAUUUCAACCAUCAAGCCCCCGGGCUUGUGUUGGGGACCUGCGGCUGCCCGCAGGCCCUGAAAACCAGUGGCGGGCUCGCUGUCACACCGAGCGUAGUAGCAAUCACCUCGCUCAGGGCGUGCUGCGGGUUCCGGCCGUUAAACAGCCUUACAAAACCCAAGGUUGACCUCGGAUCAGGUAGGAAGACCCGCUGAACUUAAGC
This 305-nucleotide unclassified non-coding RNA is filed under the name plant metagenome. Its description in RNAcentral is "partial contains 5.8S ribosomal RNA, internal transcribed spacer 2, and large subunit ribosomal RNA". The stretch from base 1 to 104 matches the Rfam family "5.8S ribosomal RNA", at positions 51 to 154 of the family's 154-position model. The record is from RNAcentral.